CCGGAGCAGCUCUGCCGCAGGAACACCGAAUUUGGGAGCAGCUGCCUGCGAUGAGUCCUCACAUGCAGGAAUGUCAGCAGGAAUGCACGGAAGCACAUCAGCGAGGUUUAGCUGGUGGAUCACAUUGUGAAAUGUGCAGCCAUGAAAGACCUUCCAUUUACUGCACCCUUCAAAACGAAAUAUUAGCAUGGGAGCUAAGCUGUGACUUCUGCGGGGUAUGUUGGAGUAGUGACUUCAAGUUAUGGUUCACAAGUAACUUCAGGACAGCAUGAGGAGAGCUGUCAAUAAGAAAUGGAGGCUAAUAACGAAGGAGUCAGUGAAGGAGACCAAUGCCAUGAGGGUUAUCUUGCAGCCCCAGAUGCUGGAUAAGUUGAAGGAGGCAGAAUCACUUUUGGAUGACAUUCAGGCAGGCCUUGAAUGAUUAUUUGGCAAAGAAAAGACUAUUCUUUCCAAGGUUUUUUUCUCUCGAUGCAGCAGCGAUCUCUCAGGAAUCCUUUUUGAGAUAAAGGAUCCACUCCAAGUCCAACCACACCUAAGGAAAUGCUUUGAAGGAAUUGCCAAGCUCACUUUUAAUCAUGAGAAGGAAAUUACCCACAUGGAGUCAGCAGAAAAUGAAAAAGUAGAGCUCGUGCUGCGAAUAAUUCCAGCAAGUGCCAAGGGGCUAGUUGAGAAAUGGCUUCAUGAGGUGAAUAUCUUUAGCUCUUACUUAGGGUUUAGUUACUGUAUAAUCAUUUUCUCUUUUAGGAGCAAUGAAUAUCAUAAGCAUAUUUCCUAACUAAAUGGCUCUGUGAAUUAUUUGUCCAGAUGUUGACAGAUUUCAGCCGUAUUGUUGUUAUUUAUUGCAACUAAUUUAGCAUCUGCAAACCUGCAGAAAUUAAUUCUAAUAAAAAGCUCUUAGAAUCAGGUUGUUAGCAGAAGUGGGUCUGUGUCUGAAACUAUAUAUGUGAAUAUAUGUUUGAGUCUAUAUGUAUGUGUUUUUGUGCUUGUAUGGUGUAAUGUCUGUAGUUCAGGGGUAUAACAUUUAAAAAACCAGAGAAAUGUAAGAUUUUAAAUGCCUCCCACCCUGCUGAAAGUGUGUCCCAUUGUCCUGGAGUGGUUUAACUUCCAAUCAUUUUAACAAAAGGGAAGAGAAAUUAUGUCACUGAUAACACCCUAACCUUUCCCCUUUGGGUCUCUCAUCCAAAUUCAUUGGUUUCAGUAUGAAAUUAGUUUGGUGACCUUUUUUUGUUUGCUUUGUUUAACCUUCCUCUGCUAGUGGAUGGGAGCGGGCCCUUCCCUACUUUAUUUUUCUGGGCCAAAACCCUAUUUCCCUUCCCAUGAGCUUCCUUUUCUCCUGGGGCAGGAUCAGCCCCAGGAGCACCACUUCCCCUUCGUCUGCUGUUGUAGGUGCUGGUUUUGUCCUCAGCAGCUUGUCCCUGGGUGCCCCCUGCACAAGGGCGAGUGCCAGGGACCAGCACCCAGCUCUAGUGGGAGAGGGAAGGGGGAGCUGGGGAACCGAUAUUUUAUACCCAGCUAUUUUACCAGAGACUGAGAGGAACCCCUGGGCAGCAAAACCCAGAGCAGGUGGUGGGUCAAAGGGGUUUGCCCCCAUUAGGUAUUGUGUUUCUGCGGGCUGGGUGAGCAAAGCUGAACCACUCAAGUCCUCUCAUGAAUCCCUUUCCCACCUAACGGAGCUGCAUGGCAGCAACAUGCUAGCUUCGGACCGAGCCUUUAAGAAUGGACUGCAUGCAGUUUAAAAUGGUCCAUCUGCAGCAUCAUUCAGGGUGGGAAAGGGAGGAAAAGAGGCAGGGUUUAGGUGAGGCCAAACACUCCUGCCCUGUUCUUCAUCUGAAGACGCUAGCUUGGUUUUUGGACUAGUUUCACAAAGUUAUCUUCCUAGCCAAACAAAACCAACCCCCCCAAAAACCUCAAAACCAAGGAGCUACAGUGGGCAAGUGGCAGUCUUAAGGACCACAGAAAAAGCACAAAUUCUCAGUACACCAAGCCUGCAAUAUACUUUUUAGUUUUUGCCUUUUCCCCACAAAUGAAGCAGGGCUGGGCAAGUUGAGCAGCUGUGUUUAUUUUAAUACAUAUCAUUUAACCUUCUCCUGAAAACAAAUUGGAAGGUUUGGGAGUGCAUUAAUCUGGACCCGAUUAGUGUCUCCUUCUCCCUCAAAAGUGCAACCU
This is a long non-coding RNA of Strigops habroptila (Kakapo), 2166 nucleotides long. RefSeq lists it as uncharacterized. The transcript has 5 exons. The record is from RefSeq and is a predicted model, not a curated record. Lineage: Eukaryota; Metazoa; Chordata; Aves; Psittaciformes; Psittacidae.